UACGGAGGGAGCUAGCGUUGUUCGGAAUUACUGGGCGUAAAGCGCACGUAGGCGGCUAUUCAAGUCGGGGGUGAAAGCCCGGGGCUCAACCCCGGAACUGCCCUCGAAACUAGAUAGCUAGAAUCUUGGAGAGGCGAGUGGAAUUCCGAGUGUAGAGGUGAAAUUCGUAGAUAUUCGGAAGAACACCAGUGGCGAAGGCGACUCACUGGACACGUAUUGACGCUGAGGUGCGAAAGCGUGGGGAGCAAACAGG
RNAcentral lists this ribosomal RNA (253 nucleotides) under uncultured bacterium. Its description in RNAcentral is "partial 16S ribosomal RNA". It matches the Rfam family "Bacterial small subunit ribosomal RNA", at positions 524 to 776 of the family's 1533-position model. The record is from RNAcentral.